RNAcentral lists this ribosomal RNA (460 nucleotides) under uncultured bacterium. RNAcentral's name for it is "partial 16S ribosomal RNA". It matches the Rfam family "Bacterial small subunit ribosomal RNA", at positions 338 to 795 of the family's 1533-position model. The record is from RNAcentral.
CCUACGGGAGGCAGCAGUGAGGAAUAUUGGUCAAUGGUCGGGAGACUGAACCAGCCAAGCCGCGUGAGGGAUGACGGUACAGAGGAUCGUAAACCUCUUUUGUCAGGGAACAAAGGCGGGGACGUGUCCCCGGAUGAGUGUACCUGAAGCACAAGCAUCGGCUAACUCCGUGCCAGCAGCCGCGGUAAUACGGAGGAUGCGAGCGUUAUCCGGAUUUAUUUGGUUUAAAGGGAGCGCAGGUGGUCUGUUACGUCAGCGGUGAAAGUCCGGGGGUCAACCCCCGCCCCGCCGUUGAUACUGGCAGUCUCGAGUUGGAGAGAAGUAUGCGGAAUGCGUGGUGUAGCGGUGAAAUGCAUAGAUAUCGCGCAGAACUCCGAUUGCGAAGGCAGCAUGCCGGCUCCACACUGACGCUGAGGCACGAAAGCGUGGGUAUCGAACAGGAUUAGAUACCCCAGUAGUC